This 757-nucleotide long non-coding RNA is filed under the name Triticum aestivum (bread wheat). Its description in RNAcentral is "long non-coding RNA (TAES_LNC026237)". Lineage: Eukaryota; Viridiplantae; Streptophyta; Magnoliopsida; Poales; Poaceae. The record is from RNAcentral.
ACCAACACGAGGAGGUUCAAGGAGUGCUGCUUGCUUCUGUUUCGGCCUGAGGCAUGUUUGAUGAACAGGUGGAGCUGCCAUCACAAUGAAAACCAUGGUGCUGUUGUGGACGUGGUGGUGACAGGUUGGAAUCUCAGUAACGCUGAAGGAAAGAGAAGACCGCCAGGAGAGGUGACUUUCUUUAUACACCCCCACAAGACCCAGUAUGGAUUCGUGGAGGAGCAGCCAAGAAGCUCGCAGGUAUCAAUUCUUAUUUCUGAUGGCACGGCUGCCAUUGCCAACUUGUUCUUGAGAGUGAACACAGACCCAGCUUUUGAUCAGGGUGCUGGGAGUAGUGGCUGAGUUUUGUAUGGCACUGUGGUGGACUGUUGGCAGCCGCGCAAUAGUCAUGGUGUUGGGAUGUUUAUAAGGACCUUGAAGUAUGCUGAAUGUUUGGUUCUUUCAUAUGCCGAUGAGUUGUAAUAUUAGUAUUAAUAUCGCCCACUGUCGGGCUAAGCAUAACGUCAUUGUAGGGCAGGAUGCUGUCAUGUGGAGAGACUAAAUCCCAGACUUUGUUUUGUGUAGCUAUUUAGUUUUUGAGCAAGCUUGAUAAAGGAGCAAUUCCUAUCACUGAUAGGCUAUCACUCACAUAUUUUAUAUCUUAUUGUUUGUGUGACGGCAGAAUGAUUUCCGGACGUCGAAUUUUUGUAAAUAGCAUUAUCGAACUAACAAUGUCCUGUUGUUCGUGGUUUGCAGAGGUUGGCUACCAGUGCACUUG